GAUAAGUAAUGCGAAUUGCAGAAUUCCAGUGAGUCAUCGAAUCUUUGAACGCACAUUGCGCCCUUUGGUAUUCCGAAGGGCAUGCCUGUUCGAGCGUCAUU
This 101-nucleotide ribosomal RNA is filed under the name salal root associated fungus UBCtra1181C. Its description in RNAcentral is "partial 5.8S ribosomal RNA". It matches the Rfam family "5.8S ribosomal RNA", at positions 57 to 154 of the family's 154-position model. Rfam says of the family: 5.8S ribosomal RNA (5.8S rRNA) is a component of the large subunit of the eukaryotic ribosome. It is transcribed by RNA polymerase I as part of the 45S precursor that also contains 18S and 28S rRNA. The record is from RNAcentral. Lineage: Eukaryota; Fungi; Ascomycota.